RNAcentral lists this long non-coding RNA (2327 nucleotides) under Ananas comosus (pineapple). RNAcentral's name for it is "long non-coding RNA (ACOM_LNC037881)". The record is from RNAcentral. Lineage: Eukaryota; Viridiplantae; Streptophyta; Magnoliopsida; Poales; Bromeliaceae.
CUUCUUCCUCUCCUUCAGCCCGAGCACACACACACGCACGCAUGGUGCUAGUGAGAGAAACCUUCAUUCCUCUCUCUAGAUUUCUCUCUCAUCUCUCCAUAUCUCUCGCUCAAAUUCGCGGCGUUGGUGGAGAAGAUGCUCGCGAACGCGUUGGGAGUGACGGAUCGAGCUUUCGUGCGCCCGUUACAGCGGCGUGUUUUCGUUGCGGCGUUCACGUUGUGGUAAGCUUUUGGGAUUUGGCUUAAUCCUUAGCUUUAAGUGUUCUAAUAGUCUCUAAUGAGCAUUAUUAGCAUGUUGCUCCAUUUAAUUUGGAUUAUUUGGAGGUUCAAUGCAUCUAGGGCUCAAAAAUGGGGUUUUGUAAAUAUGAGGGUUUGAUCUCAUUUGACCCUCUAUAAACCUAAUUGCUAGGUAAACGAACGCGUUGGCGAAGUCGGUUCGCUGAUUCGUCGAGCCGUUGCGAAGUUAUUAAAGAAACGGACGUUUAGGCUUCGUUUUCGCCUGGAGGGCCGAGGCGACAUCGUAAACCCAUGAAAACGGAUUUGAAGCAUCGUGGCACAUAACCGAAGAACUUUAAUUUCCGGAUCGUGAAUUGGAGGCCGUUCGGGUGGUUGCGCGAGAGAUCGGGCCAAACCGGGUGCCGGAUGCCGCGGGAGGCCGAUUGCAAGUGUCGACAAGCAAUCGGAAUGCGAAAUGAGGUGGGUUGUGCUUACCGAAGCGACUAGGUCGCCUUUAUGUCUAAGAGAAAUGAGAUUUCAUAUUGAUGCAUGUUGACAUAUAAUGUGAAAUGCUAGAGGAAUGCAUUUGACAUAAUGUAAGAAUGUGAAAAGAAUGCAUGUUAACAUAUUAUAGAAAUGCUAGAUAAAUGCAUGUGAUUAAUGCUUUGAAUGCAUAAGAUAAAGGGCAUAUGAAUGUUAACAUUAUAAGAACAUGAUAAGAGGAAUGCAUGAUGACUUAGUGUAAAUAGUGCUAGAUGAAUGCAUUGAGUAAUGCUAAAGUUUACAUGAUAAGCAUGCAUGUGGAUAAUGCUAAGUAAUGGUAUGAUAAGCAUGAUGUAGAAAUAAUAAAUGCAAGCAUGUGGCUAAUACUAAGAUAUACUUGAUGAUCAUGUUGUAGAGAUACUAAUGUUAAGAAAUGAAAAUGUGCAUAUGGACAAUCUAUAUACAUUAGAUCGAGUGGCAUUAAACCUAGAGUCAUGGACAUAGGUUGAACAUGGAGGAUAUGAACCUAGUGUCAAAGAACAUAGGUUGAACAAGUAUAGUGUGAACCUAGUGUCAUGAACCUAGCAAACACUUGUGGCAUUUGAGCAUAUAUAUUUGUAUCAUUCAUACAUAAUAGGACUAAGUACAUGUGAAUCUUGGUUGCUUUCAAUGACAUGUUUCUAACGUAGUUGAACAUAGAGAAAGGUAGAACCAUAAUGGACAUGUAUGUUAGGACCCUAUUAUUGUGUGAAUGUGAGAGUUGGACUUGGACAUAGUAAACAAAGGUGACAUUGACAAUAGAGACAUUGAUUGGCAUAGAGAACAUAGUUGUUAAACAUAGUUUAACCAAGAGUGGCAUUGGACCAAGAUGACAUAGGGAGUGGCAUGAUUAAAUAGGUAGAAAACCUAUUAUGACAAUGGCAUUGUGACAAGUGGCUAUGAAUCCUCAAGUUGAGGAUUGGAUCGAUACUCACGAUAAGUCUUGGCUUGAGGGAGGUAGCUCCCCCUCGGGCGGUGCGCUCCGGAGUUGGUCACCACUGGGCGUGGUAAAGUCCCCCCAGAAGACGGUCCCUAGGGAGGUUCGAGUCCCCCGCUAUUAAGGGAUUUUGGGUUGUGAGUUAUUGGGGUUAACAUGGUUAACCGGUAAGAUUGGGUCAAAGCCAAGUGAAUGUACAGCAUUAUGUGUUACGGGUUUGGUAUCCCAGUUGAGAGGAUUUAGGGCUGAGGUGUAUGUGAGACGUCCAUCACCUCGAGCCUAGUUUUGGUGCGGUAUUCCGCAGUUGAUUGACUCGAGACCGAGUCGGGUGGUUAGCUUGGCUAGGGUAGAGGAAAACCUUAGGAGCAAAUAACCAAUGAUGUAAAGUGAUAAGAUGUAUAAAUUAUGAAAAAGCUAUGGAUAGCAUGAUACAAAGUAAAAUCAUUUAUUCUACUUGUAUAGUUGCAUGAUUCGCAUAUAGCAUGGCAUUAUUGUAUUCGUGAGGCAAAGCAUGGUUUUAUUAGUUGCAUAAUAAAGAUAUAUAUCUAUCUGUUUAUUGAAUUAACUUGCAGUUGCCUACCUUGGACCUAUUGGUCGAGCUUUUCUCUUGGGUGGCCGUACCCACUGGGAACCAUGGAGUUGGUUCUCACCCC